UGCACUUCCAGAGUAGAUGCAGCUACACUGGUAGGGGUGAACAUACCAAUUCAACAUGCUUGGUAAGCACAGAUUUCAUGUGCAGGCGCCUGGGCUUGGGUACUCUGUGCUGUGUAGAUGUGACCAAAGAUACAACUGUCGAAGCUACCAAAAGCUUGGCACAAGACACGUUAAACAGGGAAACGGGCAGCACAGCUUGAAUGAGAUGCCUUAGUACUGCAGCAGUAAACCAGUGAGAUGAGCAAGGGAGAUUGGUUUGAAAAAGCCUGCCCUGGCAAGGAGUCUGGUAUCACGGGUUUAGUGGGAUAACCUGGCAUAGAAGGGGUUAAACAUGCAGCUGAGCACCCAAACUUUGUUUGCACAUGAACGGGUGACAGAUUUCACACCAAUGGUUUGCAUGUUUAGUGCUGGCCCAGCACUUUCUCGGUAUUGUCUUUGCCCCCAAGGUCCGGGAAGAGCCUUUCUCCUCUGAGGGUGCCCUGACCUCUUUACUCACCUGCCCUGAUUGCAAGGGAAACACCCUCCUUUUCUUUUCUUUUCUUUUCCUUUUCUGGCCGCAAGUUCUACUCUGCUCAGCAGAUUUAUUGCUGCCAUCUAGUGGUGCUACAAGGACAAGGUCUGCUCGUGACUGCUCCCCCUGUCCCCCAAACACAGUGCGGGGCUGUGAAAAAUGUAUUCCCUCUGUAGAUCUCCACUUCUCAGUGAAUGAAAUGGUCUGUCGUGUCUGGAGGCUGCAGCCCUCAUUUCCCACCUGGUGAAUUAGCCCCCCUGACUUUCAGUGUCUAAGUUAUCUUCACAGAUACCUGUAAGAAACACAGAGGGGCAUUUUUUGUUGUCGGUAUGGAACAAUAAACAGAACUCAAGGUCUUACAUCUUCAUUUCAGCUAGCACACCCAACCACCAUCCAUCUUUGGUCACUGCUUCCUCAUGUUGGAGUCUGGCACAAAAUUACCUCUGCGCUUGGCACCUUUGGAUGAUGGGCGAGUACCACUGCUUCCUCGCUGCCUAAGACUGAUCUCUCAGGAACAGGCUUCAAGCGUGUUGGUGGGCAAGAUGGAGGAAGCUAGUGCUGCGACUUUCCCUGGUGCACCAGUUCUGCUGGUUAGUAGAGAUCGGACUGCCUCCUUCGGGGUGCCUGUCCAGCACCUCUCACUGAAGCCCCCUGUACCGGUGGCCAGAACCCGGGCAGUGUGAUUGCCACUGAAAAAAAUCAGCUCGUGUGCUGCCUUCGGCGCUCAUGCCAUUGGUUGCCUACCCCUGUUCUAGUGGAAGACGGCUCAAGCUUUAAUUCAAGAACGCCACUGCUCAAGCCAAGUUUUAUUUAACCAAAAGCAAUUUGGUUUUGCUCCAGUUCCACUGCUUGGGAAUUGUGCUCAAGACGCAGCCUUCUUUUCAGCCAGAGAGAAUCUUGCUGCUGGGAACUUUUGCUUUGUGACCUGAAAUAGCAACAGCAAGAAGCACCUUUUUUCAGAACUUC
This 1477-nucleotide long non-coding RNA is filed under the name Gopherus agassizii (Agassiz's desert tortoise). RNAcentral describes it as "lncRNA (ENSGAGG00000021628.1)". Lineage: Eukaryota; Metazoa; Chordata; Testudines; Testudinidae. The record is from RNAcentral.